GUGGGGAAUAUUGGACAAUGGGCGCAAGCCUGAUCCAGCCAUGCCGCGUGAGUGAUGAAGGCCCUAGGGUUGUAAAGCUCUUUCACCGGUGAAGAUAAUGACGGUAACCGGAGAAGAAGCCCCGGCUAACUUCGUGCCAGCAGCCGCGGUAAUACGAAGGGGGCUAGCGUUGUUCGGAAUUACUGGGCGUAAAGCGCACGUAGGCGGACAUUUAAGUCAGGGGUGAAAUCCCGGGGCUCAACCCAGGAACUGCCUUUGAUACUGGGUGUCUGGAGUAUGGAAGAGGUAAGUGGAAUUCCGAGUGUAGAGGUGAAAUUCGUAGAUAUUCGGAGGAACACCAGUGGCGAAGGCGGCUUACUGGUCCAUUACUGACGCUGAGGUGCGAAAGCGUGGGGAGCAAACAGGAUUAGAUACCCGUGUAGUCC
RNAcentral lists this ribosomal RNA (425 nucleotides) under uncultured bacterium. RNAcentral describes it as "partial 16S ribosomal RNA". It matches the Rfam family "Bacterial small subunit ribosomal RNA", at positions 354 to 796 of the family's 1533-position model. The record is from RNAcentral.